RNAcentral lists this long non-coding RNA (1190 nucleotides) under Phascolarctos cinereus (koala). Its description in RNAcentral is "lncRNA (ENSPCIG00000035947.1)". The record is from RNAcentral. Lineage: Eukaryota; Metazoa; Chordata; Mammalia; Diprotodontia; Phascolarctidae.
UCCUUAUAUGACAGUUUUAAUACCCAUUGAUUGACAUGAUAACAAAAGUCUACUAUCAUUACUGUUGUUAUUAAUUCAGUAAUACUUUUAAAUGAAUUUGUAUUUACUAAUCAUAUUUGGGUAGAUUUUUAAAAUACAUAUACUGUUUGUGGAAGACGUUCAUUUAGCCUUCAGAUAGUAUCUUUGCUUGUUCAUGAGUUUAUAUACUCUUUAUAAUUACUCCAUGGCCCCCUAUAAGUUGGGAAAUUAUGAUCUAAUAACUCACUUUGUAAAGUGACUCAACCAAGGUCAUGAGUCUACUUAGUGAAAGAACCAGGUCUAGGACAGAGGUCUCCUUCUUUCCCAUCUAGUACUCUCCAUAAGAUCCUCAUUUUCUUGGCAAUAAUUCAUAACCUCACUAUUUCCACCUCCCUCUCUCCCCAGCACUUAAGCAUUUUUAGAAUGACAGGACAGCUAGGACACAGAAUGUAAAGACCCAGUGAUCAGCGUUGGUUCUCCUCUCUCCAGAAUCAAGGCAAGCCUGUUCUGAUGAGGAAACAUGAAAUGACUAAGCAGGACAAAACCACUACCUGGGAGCAGCAAGCAGUGAUCAGAAGGCCAGCAGGUUCAAUCCUUAAAGGAUCCAUGAUCUCAUCAGGAUGUCCACUGACAAACAGAUCAGACCCCCCUAUUAGAAGAGGGUCUGCUAGAUCGGCUGUGAGCAGCAACAAGGAAAUCCAUCACAGAAUCCCCAGAUUUCAACGUUGGAGUGUCCUUGACCUCAAGGAGUUUAUAUUCUAAUGAGGGAAGACACGAGGUGAAGCAACUGAGGGGCAGAGGUAGACCUGCUGCUUCCUAAGGCAGUAUGUUCCACUUUUCGAUAUCACCAAUUGUAAGAAAACGUCUCCUUUAUCAAGUCUAUUACAUAGAUGGGAAAAACAAUAUGAUUGAUUACAAAGUCAGAAGCAUGAUAGACGUGGAGGAUAAUAUGAUUGACUGAAAAUUUGGAAUUCAGGGUUAGUGACAACCCCUCCUUCCAUCUUGUCUCCAUGGAAAGCUCAUUGGUGGCAUCCACUUCCAUGGCUAGUUAGCAUCACAGUGAUAACAGACCAGACUCCCUGGCAUCCACCUGCAUCCUUCAAGGAUCACAGGUUUUCUUGACAUAAGACUAGAACAGUGAUUAGCAGGAAGACUGAAUUUCUAAACUUAAU